Apus apus (common swift) is the source of this 5565-nucleotide long non-coding RNA. RefSeq lists it as uncharacterized. The record is from RefSeq and is a predicted model, not a curated record. Lineage: Eukaryota; Metazoa; Chordata; Aves; Apodiformes; Apodidae. The transcript has 4 exons.
GUCUACCAGCAGUUCUUGACAGGACAAGCAGAAGGAUCCGUUCUGAGCUCUGAAGGGCAUUGAACAAACAUCACAGGCUACCGUCAAGAAACGGAAUGUGCUAAAGGCUUCUGAAAGCGAGGGGAAGCGCCGCGGGAAGCCCUCGAGCACGGAAACACUUCACUUCGCGGAACACCUACCGCAUCCCAGACCACGGCCGCCACCCCCAGCUGCCGCCAGUCCUGCCGGAGCCGGAUGGUGCGGCUGGCGAAGCGGGCAAGAGCUUAUCACAACAAUGAAGUUGCAAGUACAUGGCCUGGUUCAGCUUUUAAACACUGCAGAAGGCUGCAAGGACACCUAAGCUGCAGAUAAACUUGUGAAGUAGGGAAAAGCUGGCUUUAAGAGUUACAUUAAACAAUGGAAGUAAUGAUAAAAAAUAUGAAGAUGUAUAAUUUCUGAAGUGCUUGAGCUGAAACACAGGAAGAUUCUGGAGCCUCUGAAGAGGAAAUUGUUCCCAUUAGUAACAUUAUAUUCACGCCUUCAACCUCGGAUCUUGAUAAACUGUCAUACAUAAUCACCACGUUUAUUAAAAUGUCUUGUUACAGAAAGAUCACUUAGCUUUAAGUGGAACUGUGUGACUGAUCUCUCAAAGGCCUUGCAGGUCUGAAAGCUAACAUUAUUCUGAAGUUUUUAUUAAAGAACAAAAAGCAAAAUGAGUAAGCUCUUCACAAGCAACCACUGCAGUUCCAGCUGCACUUCAGUUGCUGGAAGCCUCCUUCACUCACCGCUGCACUUUCAGAAGUUCACAGAAGUUUGCAGCCUUAUCCAUGUCUCCAGUUGGUGGACUUCCAGACCAUGAAAUGCCACAUGUUGAGUCGUAUGAGAGGAGAGUCCCCAACCCACUGUGGUGUGACUGACACAUGAGCAGGCAUUGGUGUGCACAUGGGUGGAUACCAGGAAUGGUUGCUCCAGCAGUGCUCCAGUGAGCACAGGGCUGUGGUCAGGAAGUCGUGAUGCAGUGCUGUGAUUUCCCUCCUCUGCCAGCAGCUUCUGUACUCAUUGCAGCUGGUUGGUGGUUGUCAGCCAGGGCAACAUAUGUUUGGUGUGUGGGAACCUGCGCUGGGGAAAAAUGCUGCAAAAAAUCACCCUUCUACGGAGACGGAGUGUGGAUCUAGAGGCUUGAUAUUUGGUGGCCAGAUUUCUGAUGUGCUCUGGAGGUGCAGUGUUAUGUAAUUGGAGAGGAAAUUACAGUGCAAGCAAUGCCCUGUGUUAAUUUAACUAGUUAACAAUAACUAAUUUAAAAACAUUUAAAACCAAUUAUAUGGACAGGCAGACAACAGCUAUAGCAUUCACAUAUAUGCAAAAGCAUCUGCCUCACUGCAAAUGCUGCCUUUUAAAACCAAGCACAACUCAAGUUUACAAAAAAUGUGGGGGAUUUAGUGUUAUUUGUAAUGGUAUUGGUAGUGUUCUUCUGCACUUCUUAGAAGACAAUGGAGAAGCAGCAAGAGUCAAGUCUAAGCCGUUUCAGGUACCUUAAAGCUAAUAGGAGGUGCUCCUCAGAGCCUCCCUCCAGGUUUUGGUAGCCCAGGGAUGGAAUUGGAGCUUUAGAAGUUUGGCCUAAACAAACUUACUGCAGGGCUUUUGCAUGUAAUUUGACUUUUCUGAAUUAAGUCAUGCAUCCAUGUUAAUGUUUGUGUUAAAAAAAAUGGAAAGCAUUUUCCUUCUCCUCAUAGGAAAUUUGUGUCCAUAACCUACAGUAACAGCUAUUUCUAACACUUGGUACAUCAGAAUAGGAGUUCUGCCAGCCCUCUGCCCAAGGGUGCACAAAGUCCAACUUUGCAGGCCUCUGUCUUUCUUGGCUUCAGCACAUCUCGAAUAAUCUACUCAGGUACUAAGUCUCCAUUACCACUACCUUAGCCUUUGGUAACUGUGAAGCUAAUUUUACUUUACCUUAAGACAAAGUGAAAGUAAGAUCAGAAUAGAGAAGCUAAGGUAAAGAAAUAUUAAGUCCCGUAUGUCUGUGCUGUAGGUUUCCCUGCAGUGAUCCAGAUGCUCACAUGCCACCCAAGAAGCCUCUGCAUUGCUUGUAAUGACAUCUUAGAUUGCUGCAGAGGCAAAAGAACAGAUUUAAUCAAUGACACCAGCACUGCAGUCUGUUCUUAUGCUAUGAAACACAGGCUCCCAGCCCUGGCUUGCAUGCAUUCACCUCUAGCCAAGGGUAGUACAGAAGAUUUAAAAGUAAGAAGAUUUAGGGCUACUAAAAAUCCUCCUUGUAUGUUCUGAACAGCAUCACUGGUUUGUCUUUUUUUUUUUUUCCCAAAAAACAUUGAAAUCUUCUAUUUCCCGAACUAGCAUUUUGCUUCGGGAUUUUUCCCUUAAAUGGCCAUAGUCUUAUUUUACUUGUCAACUUCAAAAGACAAUCAAGGGUGCAAUAUUUUUGUCCUGCCAGCUGCUGGUGGAUUUCAAAACAGGAUGCCUGUUUUCCCCCUCAUUAUGUGCAACAGUGAGACACAGAAUUCUGAGCUUUUGUUUUCAGUUGGUUAUACAGGUUCAACCUGGUGAUUCAUUCUUCCUGCAGCUAUGUUUCCAGGAAAAGACAAAGUCCUGGCUCUUCUCCAAGUAUCCAUAGAUUGCUUGAGAGUAAGAUCAGAAGGCAAUCCUUCUCCCUCAGCUGGGACACUUUCUAAGAAGAGAAAAAUUGAGCAAAACACAUCCCAGAGCUCAUGUUAUCACUCUCCAGACAAGCAAGGAGGCACAUGUCCUUGGAGAGGCAUGUGCAGUACUAAGUCAAGGUGAAGAUAACAGCAGAGUUUACAAGACUUCAGAAUCUUGGCCCUGUGAAGCACAGCCAAGCAUUUGCAAGGAACCUUUCUCCAUUUCCGGGACUGAUGGUGACUGUGAAGCUGGAUGGCUUAUAGAAAAUCCUAUAGUCUAAUCUCAAGCUUUUUAGAAGACUCUCAGAUUCUUGUUGCAGUUGGUGUCUGCAAGAACCUGCCCUUGGAUUUGGGAAUUUUUCAAGUGUCGUUAUUCAGAUAGGAGCUGGUAACUAUGGUUUCUGAUGUCUCCUCUCAGGGAUGCUGCUGCUCAUAGAUGAAGGGAAGCCUGGUUUUGCUUCAUGAAGCAAGGGGCUACAGCGCUGUGUUGUUAUGAAUACACGUGCUAAGCUUUCAGAGAGGGAGUGAAAUAAAAACAUGCAGAAAUCUACCUACAAGUAGCCAUUGCAGGAAAUCUAGACUUGUCUGAGAAGUGGAGUUCCUUUGAACACAAGCUGCUGCUCAUGUGGACUGGGCAAACAGGCCAACUAAAGAGACAGACUUAGCCACCCCUAUAAGCCCACAAGCCAAAUCACAGCUGGUUGCACUAAUGUUAGUCCUGUCAAGCCUGGCAGCCUUCAUUUAUGAUGAACCCUGCACAUAAUUACACAUAUAGUUAGGCUUAUAGUUCCAAGCUGCAUUCAGUAGUUGGCAGGGUACGUUCCUGGUUGUUACAGAUCCUUUGACCUCAUUAGAUUCACAUCAGGAGUGAAUCUGGUCCUUUGUCUUUCAGAAUAAAUCAUAGGUCUUUUUCAUCUUAGUAUCUCAGGAAUAUAGGUUGCUCCUCCCUUGGCUGUCAUCACUAUCUGACUGAGGUUUUGUUUCAGGAUUCUGCCUGGCCUUCCUUAAAGGCUGUGUGGAUUUCUCCUGACAAUUACAGCAACUUCUCCAUAGGGCUUAAAUUAGCUUUCGUUUCCCACAUUUUGGAAAGUUGCUUUCCCUUUUGUGAAAAUUAAAUCAAACAUACUCUUUCCCCACCACACAUUAUUGAAAGUUACACAUGAGCCAUCACUUGGAGGAGAAAUGAAGGCCUGUAUAACAAACUUGUUCUCUUUAGGGAAUGGUGACAUUAAGUGUCAAAUUUAUAAACUCCCAUCCAUGCUGGCAUUAACACCCGCUGGGAUCCAUUUGGUAAUCAGUAUUGCUUUCAUAAAAGCAAGACUUAGGUUGGGGAGAAAAAAACAAAAAGCAAGCCAACCUAUGAUGCCAGAACAAGUGAAAAACUGCUCUGCUCCUCUCUGUUCCCUGGCAGAAAGAUGCAGUAUGCUUUUGAGGAUCAGACUUAAGGAUUCUACUAAGGUUACUCCCAUCCUUGGUUUCCAGAGCAGUCCAUCUCUCCCCUGGCAGCUGUAGGGCCUGUGUCCCUGUCCCAACAGCAUCUGUCCAUGCUCUGGGCACUGCAGAUCCUCAGUCUGCCCGCAGCAGCUCAGCUGUGUGGCACCUUUCAAGAAAACCUGCUGUAGCCCACUUGCCAGAAAACAUUUUUCUUCACACUAAGGCAUGGCUGCCUUGGUAGGAAAUAGCUGCCAGGUAGGAGAGGGGAUGGGAUGCUCCACAGCAGCAGCUCCCACUGCAUUGAUCUGCUCUGUGCUCAGAGUCCAGCCAGCACUCCAGGGGGAUAUUCUUAUGUGUCAAUUUUCAGGACAGUGCUGAGAGCCGGUCGUUCUUCCCCAUAGUGAGAGACUAAAACCUGUGUGGUAUGCAACUGAAACAAGAAAAACCUUUCACCAUUUUAAGAAGUUUGCCCAGCACAGAGGAUGACACCAGUUCUUUCUGAUUUGUUUGAAUUUUGUCUGCAACUGUGCAGGUUCAAGCCCAGUUCCAAAUAGGCUGUAGCUCCUGAUCCAGCUUCUUCCCAAGUCUCUGCCUCUGGCUUGAAGCGAACAAGCAAAUACACUCAUGAACCCCAUUCCCAUCAACCUGAUGGUCUUUCUUUCAUGGUAGUUUUCACCCCAUACAUCUUGUAGCAGCAGCAUCCUUCCCUAGAGAGGUGCAGAAGUGGCACACUGUCAGCAGUGGGACUGGUGUUUGGCAGUGUUGCCCUCAGCUCCUCCCCAGGAAUAGCAGUGAUUCUCCCCCAUUAUCUGAGAGAUCGGGACUGCUGCUCUGCAAUAGGACUUACUAAUCCUUAUUGGCCAGCCCUGUAAUCGGGAGAGCUCAAUAAAACUGGUCCACCCUCCUUGCAGGAUCACCUGCUCUGGGAAUUGCCCUGCCUCAGCUGCAGUCCUGGUAAGCCAGACAGCCCUGAAACCUGGAGGGGGUGAACACUGUGACUAAGGGGAAAUGCUUCAGGCAGGAAGGAAAAACAGUUAACUUCAACAGAUUAUGUAAAAGCAAGGUAUUUUAUUUCUGUGAGCUGUCAACUGGGUCCCCUACUCAGAGAGAAGGAGCAGUAAUUGGGGGUCCCACAGCACAAACCUCUCUUCCCAAAGCAGCAGGGAAAGGGGCUGGUUCUCAACCAUCUGUAGGAAGCUAUUUUCAGCUAAUGUGUUCAUUAUUGCCAAGAUUUGCCAUCCAAAAUGCCUAUUUAUCAUGCAAAAUGUGGCACUAGGUAUGUGCUGCCCAUUGUACACCAAAGGAAUUGAUUUUUUUAUAAUGGAAACUGUCUGGUGAUUCACUGGGGUAAAUCAAGCAAAACAGUAGAAAGACAAGAUGGAAAAUAGGAAGUGAACCUGGACUGGUAAUAAAUCAUGGUAGAUGGUAUUCAAUAUAUUGCUAUAGCAGUAAGUCAAUAGAGUACUAAGCUGCAUAAAUAAAAGAUAAUGUGUUUCAU